AAGCGUUCCCCGGUUCAGAACGGGAGUCUUCAUGCACGCUCUUGUCCCUUUCUUCCCUCGGCCUUUGGUCUCACCGGUUUGACACAUACCCGGUUUUUACCGUAUACAAAACCACCAUAAACAGACUCAUCUUUUACAUUUUUUUUCCACCAUUUUCCUCUAUUAAUGUUCCAUCACUGACACAUCAUAACAACCAUCAUCAUUCAAGCCUGAAAGUAGCGGUAAAGCCAGCUGCCAAUACCAUAUAAACCUCACUGAAUCACCCAUUAAAACCCAACCAAAAAUCUGAAUCCGUUUCAUCACUUUGGUCGAGUUCACAGAGGUGCCGUCGUCGGAUUUCGAGGUCGAGUUCGCUGUUGAGAUUCUUGCGGUCCGAUUCUUGAUUGUUUACAUCGUUCAAAUCUUGUAUUUUGCGGGGAUUUCUCCAUUUAAUAGUGAAAAACAUCUUGAAAGGAUGAAGACCUCAAGGAGCUUCGUUGUCUUGCGGAGAAUCAACUACAGGAGUAAAAAAAUUUGAAUGACAGAAGAGACAAGGCAGUUCUUGAUGUAAUGUUGUAAUCACAAAAAAGUUACAAAAGAAAUUCCUAAUCUGUUGUAUUCUUUGUAAUUUAUGUACAAAAGCUGAAGAAGAAUUUUAUCUUUAAGAUAUCCGAUUCCCUAUCUUUACUUUU
Long non-coding RNA from Lycium barbarum (goji berry), 671 nucleotides. RefSeq lists it as uncharacterized. The record is from RefSeq and is a predicted model, not a curated record. Lineage: Eukaryota; Viridiplantae; Streptophyta; Magnoliopsida; Solanales; Solanaceae. The transcript is spliced from 2 exons.